Non-coding RNA from Ctenopharyngodon idella (grass carp), 594 nucleotides. The record is from the annotation of a RefSeq genome assembly. NCBI's taxonomy places the organism in Eukaryota, Metazoa, Chordata, Actinopteri, Cypriniformes, Xenocyprididae.
CUAAUAGUUGUUGUUACAUUUAUGACUACAGAGGAAACAAUUUAGAGAAGCAGCCAUUGCACUGUGAACUUAUUUCUUCUGUUGUCUUGCCUGAAUGUUAUCAGCAUGAUCAGAGCAAUCAUUUUAACCAUUGUAACUACUUUAUGGUUAACAGUUUGUGUGGUCUGUUCUCCUGUCAUUCAGCAGUCUCCCCAACAUCUUCUACAGUCUUUGAAGGAGAAACAGGCAAAGCUUUAUUGUUAUCAUGGUGACAGCAGCUACACAUACCUGUACUGGUAUCAGCAGAAAAGCAAUGGUGGUUCUUUAGAACUUAUUGGAAUGCUCAGUUAUGAAGCACCUUCUCCAGAGGAUAAAUUCAAACUCCGGUUUAACAUCACAGGACAUGCUACAAAGGAUGCAUUCCUGAUCAUCUCCAACAUAUCUGCUGAAGACAGCGCAGUGUAUUUCUGUGCAGCUAGUUUGCACAGCCGUACAAUUUGUUAUAAUCACUGGCAAAAAACUGACUUGCACCUGUUUGAAGAGAAAAAUAAAAUAAAAGCCACAAGGUUUCUUGCAUCUCAUGCCAAAACUGGUAAUACGAACAUUUACAAAUAG